RNAcentral lists this ribosomal RNA (280 nucleotides) under uncultured Acholeplasma sp. RNAcentral's name for it is "partial 16S ribosomal RNA". It matches the Rfam family "Bacterial small subunit ribosomal RNA", at positions 1102 to 1382 of the family's 1533-position model. The record is from RNAcentral. Lineage: Bacteria; Bacillati; Mycoplasmatota; Mollicutes; Acholeplasmatales; Acholeplasmataceae.
CCCUUAUUGCUAGUUACCAUCAUUAAGUUGGGGACGUCUAGCGAGACUGCCAGUGAUAAACUGGAGGAAGGUGGGGAUGACGUCAAAUCAUCAUGCCCCUUAUGACCUGGGCUACAAACGUGAUACAAUGGCUGAAACAAAGGGCAGCGAAGCAGUGAUGUGGAGCGAAACCCAAAAAAGCAGUCUCAGUUCGGAUUGAAGUCUGCAACUCGACUUCAUGAAGUUGGAAUCGCUAGUAAUCGUAGAUCAGAACGCUACGGUGAAUACGUUCUCGGGGUUU